RNAcentral lists this transfer RNA (86 nucleotides) under Promethearchaeota archaeon. RNAcentral's name for it is "Candidatus Lokiarchaeota archaeon (permafrost metagenome) tRNA-Leu". It matches the Rfam family "tRNA". Rfam says of the family: Transfer RNA (tRNA) molecules are approximately 80 nucleotides in length. Their secondary structure includes four short double-helical elements and three loops (D, anti-codon, and T loops). Further hydrogen bonds mediate the characteristic L-shaped molecular structure. tRNAs have two regions of fundamental functional importance: the anti-codon, which is responsible for specific mRNA codon recognition, and the 3' end, to which the tRNAs corresponding amino acid is attached (by aminoacyl-tRNA synthetases). tRNAs cope with the degeneracy of the genetic code in two manners: having more than one tRNA (with a specific anti-codon) for a particular amino acid; and 'wobble' base-pairing, i.e. permitting non-standard base-pairing at the 3rd anti-codon position. The record is from RNAcentral. Lineage: Archaea; Promethearchaeati; Promethearchaeota.
GCGGGAAUCGCCAAGUCUGGUCAAAGGCGCUGGACUCAGACUCCAGUCUCAAAGGAGCUUCGGGAGUUCAAAUCUCCCUUUCCGCA